GAUGAACGCUGGCGGCGUGCCUAAUACAUGCAAGUCGAGCGAACAGACGAGGAGCUUGCUCCUUCGACGUUAGCGGCGGACGGGUGAGUAACACGUAGGUAACCUACCUAUAAGACUGGGAUAACUUCGGGAAACCGGAGCUAAUACCGGAUAAUAUUUCGAACCGCAUGGUUCGAUAGUGAAAGAUGGCUUUGCUAUCACUUAUAGAUGAACCUGCGCCGUAUUAGCUAGUUGGUAAGGUAACGGCUUACCAAGGCAACGAUACGUAGCCGACCUGAGAGGGUGAUCGGCCACACUGGAACUGAGACACGGUCCAGACUCCUACGGGAGGCAGCAGUAGGGAAUCUUCCGCAAUGGGCGAAAGCCUGACGGAGCAACGCCGCGUGAGUGAUGAAGGUCUUCGGAUCGUAAAACUCUGUUAUUAGGGAAGAACAAACGUGUAAGUAACUGUGCACGUCUUGACGGUACCUAAUCAGAAAGCCACGGCUAACUACGUG
Molecule: ribosomal RNA, 497 nt
Filed under: uncultured bacterium
Lineage: Bacteria
Description: partial 16S ribosomal RNA
Rfam family: Bacterial small subunit ribosomal RNA
Source: RNAcentral